RNAcentral lists this non-coding RNA (26 nucleotides) under Mus musculus (house mouse). Lineage: Eukaryota; Metazoa; Chordata; Mammalia; Rodentia; Muridae. The record is from RNAcentral.
UAGGAAGCUGAGUGUUCACAUCUUCA